ACCUAAAAAAUGAUGAAACCUACAAGGUAUGAAAUGAAAGGUAAAAAGUAGGUUACUAUACUAUAGGGUUAGGUUUUGCUUUAAAAUUGCAAUAUGCUGGUAAUAUUUGGAAAAUAUCAUAAUUGUUCAGUAGAAAGCUCACAUCUAUUGUUUGGCUGAAAAUGUAUGAUUUUCGUUUUUUAAGGAUGUGAUAUUUUACCUAACAACGGUAACACUCGAACACUGGAAGUUUUUCAACAUGGCUACAUUGUCUUUGUCUACCGCUGGGUGCAUCUAUUAGGAUAAUAGAAAUUAGUGAAAAAUCUCCAUCUUUUAUAAUAUUUUAUUCAAAUUCUAUAGUUAUGAGUGGUGAAUCUCAGAAAAUGGAUUGCACUGACACCAUCGUGAACAAACCUGAUAUUCUCUUCAAAAAGAGGAAAUGCCAUCAAGUCAAUAGAAAAAGGAGACGCUCCAAUGAUGAAAGUAGUAGUGAUGAUGAGACAGUUGUUGUUGAGAGGAAGUUGAAAGAGUUGAAGAACAAUCCUCUCAUUCAAAAAACUGUGAAGAGAGGCAUGAAGAAAAUAGUUGAUGCGUCAGGGGAUGGAGAUGGAGAUGGUGAUGACGAGGAUGAUGAUGAUAACGACAAAGUGACCGUCUCUUAUAAAUCAAAGAAGAACGUGCAGCCUGAGGGGCCUAGCGAUCAAGGUGCUACUGCCAUUUUGGAAAUAGAAACCGAAGUUGACCGAGAUGCCCAAGCUAUAUUUGAAAAUUCUCUCAAAAUCAACAAGGAGCUAAAAGGUAAAGCUGACGAUAAGAUCUACCGUGGUAUGGCAAACUACACGCAGUUCUAUGAAAAGAGAGAUACAGCUCAAGGAAACGCUUCCAGUGGCAUGGUGCGCAAAGGUCCCAUCAGAGCCCCAGCAAAUUUGAGAGCCACAGUGAGAUGGGAUUAUCAACAAGACAUCUGCAAAGAUUAUAAAGAAACUGGAUUCUGUGGAUUUGGCGCUUUUUUGUAGAUUCCUCAAUAUCUUCUGCGACUGAGAGAAUAGCAGUAUCAUCUGCAAAUUUAGCUAUAGUGACUCCUGCUGGCUUUGGAAUGUCACUAGUGUACAGUGUAUACAAAACUGGUCCUAGCAGACUUCCUUGGGGUACACCAGCUUUAAUUUGCCUUAGUGUAGAAUAUUCAUCAUCCAGCUUCACUCUGAAAUAUCUCUCGUCCAGACAGCUGUAAAUUCCUACACGAUCGAUCAGAUUAUAAAUCCGGAUGGCAGCUUGAAAGGGAAAUGGCAGAGGGUACCUACGCUGGAGAAGAUUCGGAUGAUCAGAAAUAUGAAAUAGACUCAGAUGAUUCCAA
RNAcentral lists this unclassified non-coding RNA (1333 nucleotides) under Nilaparvata lugens (brown planthopper). RNAcentral's name for it is "e3 ubiquitin-protein ligase RNF113A, transcript variant X1". The record is from RNAcentral. Lineage: Eukaryota; Metazoa; Arthropoda; Insecta; Hemiptera; Delphacidae.